GCUCUCACUGCAGCCGUUUCUUCACAGGGUGAUCCUCACAGAAACACUCAAAGCCUUCUGUUACGUACAAAGGACCGCGUGUCAGUAAUCUACAGCCAUUUACCAGUUACCAAGAAAACACGGACGUUUCCACUAAAAAUCGCAAACGUUUCUUUCAAGCAAGGAGCGCCCUGCGCCAGAGGCUGUGGGAGGAGUGAGGAGUCUGGGUUCGUUCCAGCCGCAAUGCUCCCAAAUCCUGUGGUUUGCCCCGGUGUGCCACAGACUUUUCUGUUUCUGUGUGUGCCAUGGUAAGGAAAUGUUAAGAAGUCCUGGACCACACCACAGAAGCCAGACCUCGCCUUGUGCCCGGCCCCUGCCCACCUUCCCUGCACCCUGGUCCCGCCUUGUGCCCGGCCCCUGCCCACCUUCCCUGCACCCUGGUCCUGCCGUGGGCUUCCAGAGUCCUUUAACUCAGGACUGGCUUCCCAGAAGUCCCCCCACCCUGCCUCUGACCUGGGUGCUCAGGUGCCCAUCACAUGCCACCCUCAACAGGCUCUCUGAAGACAAGCCUGUGGGUCAUGAUUUCCCGCUCCCCCAGCUCGUGCUGCACGGCAGCUCAGCAGCAGGUCUGCUCCUCUGUGCUGAACUGAAGGGAGCCGAGUGCUCGCCCUCCGUCCGGGCCGGAGCUCAGAUCGUCCUGCCUCACGUACAAGAAGUAACCAGUUCUUUGGCCUUCAGACUCCCUGUUUCACUGGAUGAGGACAGCUCUGUGCCAGAGAAUGAGCUGGGAUCUGCCCUGACAAGUGGAGCCUCGUUUGAAAGUGUCGGUAACAGGCUCUGUGUCUGAACCAAAGUUUCCCUUGCAACCUGGUGUGGCUGCAUGAUGGAGUUUGGGCCGUGACAUAUGGUGGGUUUGACGUGUGCCACUCUUAGGGCCAACUUCUAAAGCCUCCAAGACACAGCCCCAUGCCCUGUGCCCUUCUGCAGCUCAGAGCAGAUGAGCCCAGUGACCUUGAGGCCCUUGAAGAUGGUGGAACCAGGAGACAUGAGGGGCCUUGGCCUGGAAACACAACUCGAAGGGAAAUCACUCAUCUGGAAAACGUGUUUGGACCCAUACCACACCGUGGCAAAUACCUGGUAAAACUGUCAUCUGAAAUUGCUUGGAAAUAGGACACUACCACCUAAACCCACAGCUCGUAGGCCAGGGCACCUCAACUGUAGUCCCCAGACCAGCAGCAUCGGUGUUACCUGGAAAAUUAAAAAUGCAAAGUUUUGGGCCCACUUCAGACCCCAGGUCAGAAAUUGUGGGUUGCAGAAAUCUGUGUUUUAAUAACCCUUCAGAUGACUGUGGUGCCCGACAAAGUUGAAAUGCCUGCUCCCAUGUGUGCUGGGUUUAGUUUGUGCUUUAGCAAAGCGGGAUAAGAAAGAAAGGAGGCCAGGAUGGAAUUCGCUGGUUUCCAACUAGAAGUGACAGAAAAUAGAAAGAGUCCAGUAAUGUGAGGUCUUGAAGUGUUGGGAGAAUUCAUUCAUCACUUCUAGAUUCCAGACAAUCAGAAAUAAAAUUUUAAAAGUCUUUCAAUGACAAACUAAGACUUCUCAGUUGGGAAAAAAAAAAAAAAAGGACUCAGUCUUGUUGCAGACAUGAGAUGAAGAGUGUGGUCUUUUCACAAAUGCCUGUGCAAGGGAGUCAAGGACAGAAGCCAUCCGGUGGGCUCCUUGGCACGGGGGCGGCUGAAGCAAACCAACCAGGAGCCCACGCAGCUGUCAAGGGCUUGUGUCAGCAAGUAAAGCCUAGACUGCUUGUGACUGUGAAGUGUAAAAGUGCCCCUGGGUCCUCAGGCCUGUGGACAGGACAAAGCCAAAGCCGCCCAGCGCCGUGUGAUGCGGCCACAGAGAACACGAGCCUCGGGAGAGAGGAGCCUGGGGCUGGAAAACAAGGGUGAAGGACGCUCCCCUCUGGCUGCAGGAGAGGGGCUGCUGAGGGCAAGAUCCAUCAUUUCUUGGGACCAAUGAUGCUGCUUCCUACUCUCUGCUUUCUGCCUGGGAGUUUUGUCUGGGACGCCUGUGUCUGCCCCACUCACUGUGUGGUGCAAGCUCCAUUUCCAGUGAGGACAACCGUGGCUGCCGAGAGCACCUUACAAGCCAGGCAUCCUCCUCUGAGCUCAAGGCAGCCUUGAGAAGUGGGACGAAGACUUCCUUCACGGGAAGAGGAGCGGCUCAGAGAAAGGAAGAGGCUAGUCCAGAACCACCACGUGGACAUCUUCUGUGAAGGCCCUGGGGUGAAGGGCACAGGUGGGAUUCAGAAUAGAAAUGACUCGAGGGACGCAAGGAGUUGGGAUCAGAAGAAGCAGCAGAAACUCCUGCUCUGCAGACACAGCAGACAUUACUGGGAAAGACACCAGAGACCCAGGAGUUCACCCAAGUCCUCUGCACACUGUCUUCCCAGCCCUCUCUCCUGGAUCUGAGAUGAUUUCACUUAAAAACACAAGCCUUUGCUUAAAGGUAGAUGAACAUUCCUUUCAGUUUCUAAGAUGGGGGGCCCACGGUCCUAGGCGCUGAGUCAGAAACUUUUUAGAUGUCCCCAGAGUGCACAGGUUUAAGGACAGAGGGAGAUUCUCAGUCUUCCUGGGUCCUCCCUGUCUCUCAGCCCAGUCAUCACACUCUAAAUCCCAGGGACUUGACUCUGCCUUCCAAUAGUUCUCAGAUCCACCUACUUUGCUCCCUUCUUUCAGAGCGCAGGUAGCCACUUGCUCUCCCAGAGAGUGCUGCAGCGGUGAUGAUCGGUUUCCCCCCUCCCCACCUGCUCAGUCCUGCAAAGCCUGGACUCUGCUCCAAGGCCUUUGGGACCCAACACCUGCUUUCCAGCCUCAGGGCCUCAGGCCUGAGACCACAGGGGCUCUUCCCGGCGGCUGUACCUCCUGCCAUUCACCUGCUGAUUUCUUCCUCAUCUGUUUAUUCCUCUGAUCCAACAAGGUCAGGAUGGUAUGCAACCGCCACCCCCCCCCCACUGCCCCCACCACCACAGCACUGCCACGACCCUUGUCUGGGACGGAUGAUGUGGGGCUGCACUUCCUCUGUCGGCCCCCUGCCCUCGUCAGGAGGCCCAGCAUGUAGCAGGCAAGCAGCAGGCAGCAGGCAGGUGCUGAGUGGGUGUGGAAGGUGUGGCCCCUCACACCUCUGUGUCCUAUGCUCAGCGCUGUGCUUGGGCAUGGCGAGGCCUCAGCAGAUACUGUGCAGCACAGUGACACCAAUGGAACCCAGUAAAAAGACAGUUUCCAAUUUUCCUCGCUGCUGGGGCCCACCCAGAUCCUGGAGCAGAGCAUGGCCUGCAGGAAGCACAGGCUGGUGGACUGUGGCUGUGUCACGGCGAGCUUCCAGUGGCUCUCGCAGAACUCAAUUGGCACGGUAAAGGGACAAAUGAAGUUUCCAGCUUUUUUCUUUUAAUAGCUCAGAUAUCAAUUUUAUAGCUCUGAUGGACAUAAUUUAUAAAAUAAGUCUAUAUCUUACUGUAAAUUUGAGACGGUUAACCUUUAAUAAAGUUAAUAAGGGGCUUGUCAAAACUCCUGAGCUGAACUUUGCUUGCUCGUUACAUAAUAACAACGAAGUGAUUUUAACCUAAACUGCAGCUAUUUUGGCCAUUUAAAGGUGAGGAAAGAGAGGGGAUGGGCAGGAAAAGUAGUUUUUCCAUCGUCCUGGAAGAACUGCCAGGUGAAGGUGAUGGGGAGGCUGGCGUUUUAAUUCCUCUAAUGGCUCAGAUCAGCUGCACCUGGGUGUGUGUCCCUUGCUCAUCAGCGCACGCUGGCGGGCCUGCGGAGGCACGAGGUGUCUUUAAGCCGAGAGCAGGAAGCAAAGUUUCUGGAAAAACUGAGGGGCGCAGGGAGCACGGACUGGGUCUUCAGGAGCAGUGUGGCUGAGCUGUGGAAAUGGACACAUCCACUGUCCCAGAUAUUAUGAAAAUGAACCCCUCACUCUGAGCUCUUUCGAGAGGAAUCCUCAAGUAUGGAGCCCAAAGAAAAAGGGCUGUGUCCAUGCCUGGGCUGGGCUCUGCAAGAAUGCACAACAAAUCACCACCCCAGACAAACACUUCCAGGCACCUCCCGACAUACUCCUAAACACUUCCCCAGGCACUCCGGGCGCCUCCCCACACACUCCCAGGCGCCUCCCCACACGCUGCCAGGCGCCUCCCCACAGACUCCCAGGCGCCUCCCCACACGCUCCCAGGCGCCUCCCCACACGCUCCCAGGUACCUCCCCAUGGUCCCAGCUACCUCCCCACAGAUUCCCAGGCGCCUCCCUGCACGUUCCCAGACACCUUCCCAGGCGCUGCCAGCCUCCUCCUGCGCACAGAUCGGGAGGUCCCUGGACUUCCACUUGUUGAGCUGGACUCAAGCCGGAUCGCCUGGAGGAUAUUCUCAGGGCACAGCGGCUGCCUGCGCCUGAGCAGUGCUGAGGAGAUGCCAAGGUCAGGCAUCAGCUUUCAGAGAAUGCAGCUGCGUCAGAGAUGGAGACACGCAGAGCCACGUGUCGUGGAGAAUCUAAGGAAGUUCGCUGGCGCCAGCAGCGGGAAAAGGCCCUGGCUUGAUGAGGGGAACUCGCAGCCUUGCAGCGCGGGUGGGAGCCCCGGGCGGAACCGCAGAAGCAUCCCCGGCCGUGGGGUUUUCUCCUCCAGCUGGAGACGUGGAGGGAGUGGAGCAGAGAUGAGCUGUGAGCUCAGCAGUUCACACAGGACGGGAUGGGGGAGGAGAACCCAGGGAUGGGAGAGAUUGGAGAACAAGGAGCUGCUGGGUCUCAGCCUCGUGUAGACGACAGGGCCUGUGGGGAUGGCCACGCGUGAAUCUGGUCCUGGCGGGGAGCGUCCGGCGCGAUGGGAGGGACCUGCAGCCAGUGAUCCUCCCGUGGCAUCGCUUCUAGAGUUGAGAGGAGAAAGCCAGUAGCUGCCGGUCUCUGGUGGGUCUCACAGAUGCUGGAGCAGGUGUAGGAGGAAGCGCCUCCAGCAGGAGUGACACCCCCAUGCCGCCCAGGAAGGUGUCGCGCCUGUUAGGAGGGAAAGGACUCAGGAUGUGCGUUGCAUGGGGUUGUGAGUGAGUCAGUGGCAGCCCCCCCGCCUCCUCCUCCUGCUUUGACCUGAUGCAGGAUGGACUCAGCACCCCGCCGAAGGCACUCCCAUUCCCCUCUGCAUAUGGUUUUCAUCAUGUGGACCUUCAAUAGCUAUUUUUGAUUGAUGGGUAUUCAGUGGGAUUCAACAUCCGUAAACGUUCUGACCCAAGUCCUGUUGAUCAAUGGCGUCACCGCACGGCCUUUUUGACCCAAGUCUGCACCAUUCUGUCUUUCCUGGAGUCACCCUUCGAGUGCUCUAUGUGACCGUGGCCUCCUGCGGAGUCUGCCCUUGGCUCACGGCUGGACAGACAUUGGCUCUUGGCGUCUCUCAUGUUGGUCACCCCUCCAGCUGCUCUGCAGCAACAAUGCCCCUUUCCAUUCAUAGAAGGUCGUUAUCGUGCUUGCACUCGGGACUGAGUUCACAUUGCCUUCUACCUGCCAGAGAAGCUCUGAGCUCCUGGAGGAAUGUUCCUUUUCUUCUGAUGAAAAAUGACGAGGUGAACCCCUCGUGCCUCGGCGUAAUGUGGUCAUCAGAGGUCGUGAGAAGAGCACAGAAAUGCGUGUUUCUCAUAAUCGCCUGGAUGCUAAUCACUGCGUCAAAACCUCCCGUGAGCCGCUUUCUCCACAGAAUGGAGGUGGCCGGGCGCGGUGGCUCACGCCUGUAAUUCCAGCACUUUGGGAGGCCGAGGCGGGUGGAUCACGAGGUCAGGAGAUCGAGACCAUCCUGGCUAACACGGUGAAACCCCGUCUCUACUAAACAUACAAAAAAUUAGCCGGGCGUGGUGGCGGGUGCCUAUAGUCCCAGCUACUCUGGAGGCUGAGGCAGGAGAAUGGCGUGAGCCCGGGAGGCGGAGCUUGCAGUGAGCUGAGAUCGCGCCACUGCACUCCAGCCUGGACGACAGAGCGAGACUCCGUCUCAAAAAAAAAAAAAAAUGGUGGAAAUGCCCCUUCCUCUAACUGCAGCUGUGCACAUCCCCCUGGGGACAGACCCAAGGCGCCUUGAGAUGCUGAAAGGCGUUCUCUGUGUUCUGAGUGGAAGUACAGCCUGGAAAGUCCACGGAGACUCUGCUCUGAGUGAGCCGAGCUGGACAGAGGGGCUUUUGAGUCAAAGUUUUCUCCUCCUUGCACUUUGCCAGAAAAUCUCAAUUGCUAGUGAGGAAUUCUUUUCCUUUCUUUCCCUAACGAAGUGAGUGAUGAGACUGGCUCUUUUGCAUAUUUGCAGGGAGUAAGCAUUGUCUGGAUUUUCACUGAGUUUACCUCAGCAACUUUUUAAAAACUUUACUCCAAAGGGAGCCAAUGUGCCCUUCCUUUGACGUAGAAAACUAUUAUUUUAAAAUUCUGCCAUUCGGCAUUACUCUGAUUUUUCUGAAUAAUUAGACUCAAAACACUCUGGUUUAUUCCCAUCUCAAAGGUCUUAGGGCAGUGGAUGCCGCCUUUGCUUCUGUUUGCUGCAGCCUGUUUGAGUGGCAGGCUCUUUGCCCUCGUUGGCCAGUCCCCACAUUCUGGUGACGCUUUUCUCCUGCCUCUUGGCCCCCAGUCACAUUUUCCAUGGUGACUCUUUCAACCUCAGCCUUCACGUUUCAAGUCAUGCAUCCACUUUGUUUUCCUGUUUCAGUAGACCCCCCUCUGAGUUUACUGAGCACUUUGAGACCACUUGGUACCAGGGCACAGCCUCCUCAUCUCCAAACGCAUGGGUUCCAUCACAAGCGGGCCUGAUCGCACAUGGCAGCUCUCGUCUCCCAGUUAUUGCAUGCACAUGUGUGUUUGGCCAGGUUGGCUUUAGGUUCAUUAAAGGCAGUGCCUUUUCUUCAUGUUUUAUUUCUCUCCAUCUGCAAUGUGUUGUGGAGUGGAGGCACCGUCCGUUCACGCACUCAGGCCUUCAGAACGUAGCUCCCGAGUGCUUGCUGUGGGCCCCAUUCCACCUGCUGGCUGAGUGGUGAACAAAGCUCAAGGAGCUGCCUCCUCCAAGCGAAGGGAGGACACCAGGCACAACAGCGUAGAGUGUGGAGUCAGGAGCGUUUGGAGAAAAGCAAACAGGAAAGGGAGAUAUAAGUGACAGCCACCUGGUGGUCAGGAGAACAAACUGCCGCCGUGUCUCCACACCCUGUGUGUCCUGAACACCGCUGGGAAGCCGUCAGCAGACGCUCCGCAGGCCACCGGGGCGAUCGGGGCACUAAAGGCCAAGCAGGCUUCACACACUGCCAAAGUCCAGGUGACCAGAGAGUAUGACCGGACACAAAGGAUGCAAUUGUAGAAACUGGUUGGUUGUUUUACCAAGGCUUUGACUGGAAAGUUGUGCUUCCCUUUAAAGAAUCAAGCUUGAUAUGCAGACCCAAUAAAAGCCCCUUGAGAAAACUGGCCUUCAUACCUUGUCAACACAGUCCUGUAUAGGGUUCUUAACCUGUGGUGAGUAAAGAAUGUCACUUUCUAAUAGGCCCAGGAGCCCCAUGUUAUCUUGAAACCUCCGUAAGAGGAAGUUACCCAACUCAUAGGUAUUUGAGGGUAAAAACCCAUGGCUGGGCUCGACUUUAAAAAGUCCUAUCUGAGAUUCUUUGUGGAACAGAGCUCCAUCAAAGCCAAUUUUAAAAGCUUAUGUGAAAAAUAAUUAUUCUUGCUGCACUUUAUGCAAAUGAUCAGUCCAAGUGGAAGACUAAAGUUUAUUUUGCAAACAACUCAGUCCUAUCAUGAUUUGUUUUUGACAAAAAUAAGACUAAAGAGAGAGAAAUUAUGUUUCAAAACUCACCAUAUAGUAGUCAUUAAAUUCCAAUGUCAUCAGUUGUUUUUAAGUUUUUGCUUACAUUUUAGACUAACCCUGCUUAUUCCUGUGAAGCAAACAGUGAUCUCUGGCUGCAGUUCAGAAGAAAGAGAAGGGAUGGGUAAUGCAAAAAUCUGGACCAAUAUUCUAGUUCUAAUUAUUGUGCAAAUCCUGCCAGGUGAUGGGAGUAAAUAGGGUGCCUAUAACCCAGAGGUUUCCUUUUUUGGGAAGAUAAGACCAAGGGAGCUAACCAAAGCUGAGUCCCAUGCACUUAUAUCUUAGCAGGCUUAACUAUAACCACUAGUUAUCCAUGCAUGCCAGCAGCCUUGGUAUUUUUGAGCUGUCCUUUACCCCUUGUUUCAUUUUGAUUCAUGUCCUCUAAUAACUCAGUUUGUCUCUUUUCACCUUCAAGCCAUCAAACUCCAAAUGCUCAUAUAACCGGAACCUCGGACAAUGGUCCCUUCUUCCGGGGACCCUUAGAUAGGCCUCGGAGGAAGCUCUGACUACUGUUUCCCAAAACAGCACCCUCCUGUCAGCAGGAAGCAGUGAAGACUGGUCUUUGUCCUUAUCCUCAUCCUUAUCCGAAUGGCACUUAGAUGUACUUCUUUAGAAAUUGGGCAUGACAGCAGCAGGAGGCAGCCAAUGCCCAGGCAGAUGGGGUGGGUCCCCAGUGAAACCCCACCUCCAAGCAAAAGACAGUUUAAAGCCUGAAAGCCAAGCUACAGGUUAAAUCUUUGGAUCAGAUUGAGAACUUGUCUUCCUGUUUGGCACGCUUUCCUCUGAUUGGUCCCCACCCUUCACCUAUUUUACAUUUACCUACCCUUUCCUAAUUGGUUUUUCUAUGCUGUCAUGCCCACCUUUGAGUGGUGUCUUCCUUUAACCUUUUUUGGAUUCUCACAAACCAAUCAGCAUUCACUCCCCAUUCUGAGUCCAUAAAAGGCCCCGGACCCAGCCAUAUGGAGGAACUUACCCACCUUGGGUAGGAAGACCAACCCCACAUCCCCCCUCUACUGAGAGUUAUUUUCAGCACUCAAUAAUAUUCUUUUCUGCCCUUCUCAUCCUUCAAUGUGCAGAGUAUCCUCAUUCUUCUUGGGCAUGGUACAAGAACUCAGGAACCACCAAACAUGAUACAAGCUAUAACACAGGCCAGUUGGGGCAUGCCAGCAUGGCCGAGUGGGACCCAGGUGGAGCACUGCCAGCUGGGGCUCCCUGCUCUGCAACGUGACUGAGAAUAAAAAUCCUACAUUGGUUUUACGUAACAGAAGGUGAACAUCUGAUAAGAAAGGGUGACAAAAGGAAAAGUCAACCAUGCAGAUGUCUCUGGGUAUGUGGGGGAGUGACUGGUCUCACCUUGACUUUAUUCUGCACCUGGGCAGGUGGGUUUGUAAUUGACACGACCAGUGUGCAACUGAACAGACUUUAGUUUUAGGAGCUGGACUUAGACUGCAGUCCUAAAGUUUCAAUUGGCCUGUCCUCAUUCAUGAGAGGCCAGCAGAGAAUUCACGCAGGGAUCAUCUGUGUGGGCAGCUUUUCCAGAUGCCUGAGGCCUUUCCCAUUCUCUUUGGGUCUGGCUGAUACAUGAUGUUAGUGACAGUCAAUUCAUUUGGAAGAGGGAGUGCAAUGACUUUCCCUUUUGCAUAAGAAGUUUUGGGGGUACUGAGAUUUUUAGUUUCCUUUACAAGACCUUCCCGCAAAUAAGUACAAGAGGACCCAGAGUGUGGGGUGUCUGGCUGUCUGAGCAGUUGGGCCACUGACGCUGAGGACAAUGUGAGAAAGCCUGUCCUGGUGGAAGGGAGAGCAAAGGUGGAGAGAAAGGAAGCUCCAUGUUAGUUUUUGAAACACACCACAGCUGAAGGUCAGUCCCCAAAGCUGGUUAUGGUUGAAAGGGAGGAAAAGCUGCUCCCACGUGGCUCUGGCUGAGGCUUCCGAGACUCUGCAGGUGGGGGCCGUCUGUCUUCCCCAGGUGGGAGCUACUUCUUUUUAGAAGCAGGCUCCACGGCGGUUUUCAGGUGUGGCCUUGCCCAGCGUCCCGAUGUUUUGCUUCCUGCCUGGCCUCGGCGCUCUUUGAUGACCUCCUCUUGCCACACACUGUGGUCUCCAUAGGCUGCCCACUGCUGAUCCGAGGCUGGUGGCCCCCAGCACACGUGGGUUUCUGAGGAACACGCUGAGACUCUCGGGCCAUGCCGUGACACAGGGGAGACAGCGUCUGCUCUUUUUCCAUUUUUGUUCGUUUUCAGUGCUCUGACCCUCAGGAAGCCCACUUAAGCAUCCCAGAAUCCAGACGGCCGUGAACAAAGCUGCUGUGGUUUGGGGCUGCAAAACUGGCCCACAGCCCACCUGGAUAACUGAAUCGAACAUGCCUCAGCCGCCCUCACCACAGGCACCAUCCCCCUCACAGAAGUUUGAUGUCUGAUCAUUCAGCACUGGCUGAGCCUCAGAGCUAAAAUGGAAAAUGCAUUUUAUGAGCAGAUAACACAUUUUUGGAAUGGCUACUUUAAACAUUGUGGAUACAGAUUCACAGAGACUAUUUUUAGAUGAAUUAUUUCUUCUAUUUACCAUACUGAUUUGCUGGAAGAAAGAAAAACAAUAUUUUAAAAAGGGAAAACAUUCUUUAAAAGCAGUGACUCUAAAUUUCCCCUGAAGAGCAAAAUGCUGUCUGUGUCUCACUCAAUGUGGUGGCUGCUACAGGAGGAUCUUCCCAGGCCUUCUCAGGGAAUUCCCAUCAGGAUCACAGGAAUGGUACCUGGCAGACACAACCCAGUCUGCACCUUCCAUGGGCCACAGCUGAUGGUACGAGGAGAGGUGUGACAUCUGCCUGACCUCAGAAAUCUAAAUCAUUCCUUUUGCAACAAAACAAUAACAGUGGAGUGCGUUCCCUGAGUUUUUGGAGAGAAAAGAAAAAUAAAGUUCAGAGGCAAAACUUGGUAGAAAUUCUGAAGCCUGGAUGACAGUGAUGACUCCGCGCAGCAGGAACGUCGCGGGCCUUGCCUGGCCACGUCCUCUUGGCUGGAGGCAUGAGUGUUUAUGCCAGGCUGAAGAAGUCACUUGAACUCAUGUCCUUUGACUGAACAUUUUUUAUGAGACCUGCAUAAAUCAUUUCUUUAAAAAUGGCAUCCUGGGCAUGGAGGCAGUCUGCUUUUUGCAAGAAUUCUUAUGGGCAAAGUCUCUUCAGAUGAGAAUGAUUCUGCUUUAAUUCCCUCUGCCUUCUGCCCUUGGGUAAGCUCACUGUGUCUCCUUAAACACUCUGGCUUUAACCAGUUUCUGCGUAUCAUUCAGACCAACAUUCCUCUCAGUUAUCAGUCAACUGAGAGACUGAGAAAUAAAGUCAAUAGAAUGAAAAGAAAAUAGUCAUAUACAGUAAGCUCGAUUUUCUUCCUACCGCUUCCUCAUAUCUUUGCCAAGUCAAACCAAACUACCUCCUUCUAGAAAUUUGUCUUAUAAAUUAUCUUCAUGACCUUCAGGAAGCUAAUAUAUUUUAAGGUGUACAAAGCACUAAAAAUACUGAUUAAAAGAUCAAUUGGACUUCAGCAGAAUUUAGAACUUCUGUUCAUCAGAUGACAACCUUAAGAAAGUGAAAAGAUAAGUGCUUUCAUUAGUUCCCACAACACAGGAGGAAGCCCUAGAAAAUCAAUCAGAAAAACACAAUCCAAUUUAAAAGCUGAGCAAUAGCCUGUGUGGGCACUUCACAAAACGGGAUAUCCCAAUGGCCAGGGAGCUAUGAGGAGGUGAUCAAGAUCAUUUGUUUUCAAGAAAAUGAAAAUUAAAUCCACAGUGAGGGAGAAUUGCACACUCACCAGGAUGCGUAAGGCUAAAGAGACUGAAAAUGCCAACUUCUGGGGAGGACUUGGUGAUGAGAACUCACCUAUUGCUCUGGGAAUAUAAAGUGGUUCCACCAUUCUGGAAAAAUUCUUCAGCAAUAUUUACUAAAUUUAAAGAUAUGCCUAUCCUAUGACCCGAAAUCCUGCUCCUAGCUCUAACUAUGGGAAAUGAGUGGCGCAGUCCACAAAAGGACAUGUGCAAGAACAUCCAUAGCAGCUUUAUGCACAGUAAAUCCAAACUGGACACAACCCAAAUGCUCAGAACAAGAGAAGAAAUAAAUACAUUUUUAUAGCCUUGCAAUGGAAAACUAUAGUGUGAUAAAACAAUAAACCACGAGUGUACCAAGAAUAUUGAUGUUUGUUUCACAACAAACAUGUGCGUGAAAGAAGCCAGACACAGAAGAGUUCCCACUGUCUGGUUCCAUUUCCACAAAGUCCAAAACAGACACAACUAACUGAUAAUGACAAAAAUCAGAAGACUGGUGAUCUCCAGACGGAGGUAUAGACUUAAAAGGGGCCAAGGGAAAAUAAGGGGAAUAUGAACCCCACUCAAAGGUUUCACACACAAAGAGGCAGAGUAGAUACAGAGUGAAUAAAUACAUUAUUUUCAUGUGCAUACAAUAGAUCAAGUAAUAAAAUUCUGAGAGCCGCACAUAUGUUAUUUAGUUCAUACAAAAACCCUGGGUUUAUUCUGAACCCACCUAUGAGAUCACAUGGAGAGACUGGCUCCACCUGUGAGAUCACAUGGAGAGACUGGCUCCACCUGUGAGAUCACAUGGAGAGACUGGCUCCACCUGUGAGAUCACAUGGAGAGACUGGCUCCACCUGUGAGAUCACAUGGAGAGACUGGAUCCUGAAACACAAGGGUGUGCUGCAUUUCUGGAUACCAUCGCAGACCUUUGCAAGCAGUUCCAUGAAACAAGAAAGGAGCAUUAGGAUCAAUGGCAUGAGAUUUAAUUAAAUUUGCAUUGGUUUUUCUACGUUGACUUUCACUUUGCAACCAAAGAACACCAUUCUCCCUGGCAUUGUGGUAAUUUAAAAGUGCCGGGGAGGUGUGGCUCACUAAGCUAAA
RNAcentral lists this long non-coding RNA (12720 nucleotides) under Homo sapiens (human). RNAcentral's name for it is "non-protein coding LINC02519:21". Lineage: Eukaryota; Metazoa; Chordata; Mammalia; Primates; Hominidae. The record is from RNAcentral.